CUAUGAAAAAGGCAAACUCUGCGAAAGCGGGGGACGCAAAGUCACUGAUCUAAAGGGCAAAUGCCCCAGGAUGGCAGGACUGCCAGG
Molecule: non-coding RNA, 87 nt
Organism: Nitrosomonas sp. AL212
Lineage: Bacteria; Pseudomonadati; Pseudomonadota; Betaproteobacteria; Nitrosomonadales; Nitrosomonadaceae
Source: Rfam